This is a non-coding RNA of Oryzias latipes (Japanese medaka), 828 nucleotides long. Lineage: Eukaryota; Metazoa; Chordata; Actinopteri; Beloniformes; Adrianichthyidae. The record is from RefSeq and is a predicted model, not a curated record.
CUUAAGGAGCUCCAGGAUCAUCAUUCAUCGCCAGUUCGUUGCCCCUGAUGGAACCUCAUUCUCACGAGUGGACGUCCGAAUCUGUGACUACCCAAGCAGAACUUCACCCAAAGUUACCUACCUCUUCUCGGAGUUUCAUCCAGCUGAAGAACGCUUCACGAGCCUUGCUGAAUCUCCAGCCACGUCACGAGCCGUUGCCGAACCUCCAGUCACGCCACGAGCCAUCGCCGAACCUCCAGCCUCGCCGCUCUCCUGCCGCAACAUCAAACCAACGUCAUUGGAGCAAUAAAACAUCAUACUUACCUUUACUCACCUCCUGUCUUCCUUCCGGGUUUCAGCAUCUGCAUCUGUCUAGCCUGGCUAGCCAUGACAAUUGCCUUCUUUCCAAUGCACCAGUCAAUGCACGCAUUGAUGGGUAAAGGACAAACUCAUCAGUAAAUACAUAUUUGAGAUAGAUUUAUAAAAAAAAGGAGGAACGCCUUGAAAACAAGAUGUGGCAUCUCAAGGAGCGAAUCCACCCAUUUCUUAUCAAAUGUUUAAAUACAUAAAUACAUAUUGAGAUUUAAAAGGACAUAUGACAAUGCAAUUCUGGCAAGAAAACUAGAAGACAUCAUUUCUAAAUUUGGUUAGAGUAAAAAUAAUCUUAUAAAUUUAAAGUCUAUUUCAUUUUUCUUUCCCUUUAGCACUUUCAAAUUUUUGUAAAUGGUUUAUACUUUCCCUUUUGAACAGUUUUUUUGUUUUUUGUCAUAAAAAUAUGAUCAGCUCUCUGAUUGGUAGGACUUCCACUCGUGUUGUAAUGUGAACAAUUAAAGAGCUGUUUGCACUUGA